Molecule: ribosomal RNA, 496 nt
Filed under: uncultured bacterium
Lineage: Bacteria
Description: partial 16S ribosomal RNA
Rfam family: Bacterial small subunit ribosomal RNA
Source: RNAcentral
AUGAACGCUGGCGGCGUGCCUCAUACAUGCAAGUCGAGCGAACAGACGAGGAGCUUGCUCCUCUGACGUUAGCGGCGGACGGGUGAGUAACACGUGGAUAACCUACCUAUAAGACUGGGAUAACUUCGGGAAACCGGAGCUAAUACCGGAUAAUAUAUUGAACCGCAUGGUUCAAUAGUGAAAGACGGUUUUGCUGUCACUUAUAGAUGGAUCCGCGCCGCAUUAGCUAGUUGGUAAGGUAACGGCUUACCAAGGCAACGAUGCGUAGCCGACCUGAGAGGGUGAUCGGCCACACUGGAACUGAGACACGGUCCAGACUCCUACGGGAGUCAGCAGUAGGGAAUCUUCCGCAAUGGGCGAAAGCCUGACGGAGCAACGCCGCGUGAGUGAUGAAGGUCUUCGGAUCGUAAAACUCUGUUAUUAGGGAAGAACAAAUGUGUAAGUAACUAUGCACGUCUUGACGGUACCUAAUCAGAAAGCCACGGCUAACUACGUG